AUACUUUAAAGAGGCUGCGGUUAGCUAAGAGUACUUUAAUUAGGAAAGGGGCAACCGCCGAAGCAUAAGCUAGAAAUAGCUGUGCUGGGACUAUGUUUAAUAGACAUAGUACUGUUAUUAUGAGAUUGCCCAAUCUCAUAAUAUUGCGCUUUAUAGUGU
Molecule: non-coding RNA, 159 nt
Filed under: Acetoanaerobium sticklandii
Lineage: Bacteria; Bacillati; Bacillota; Clostridia; Peptostreptococcales; Filifactoraceae
Also listed under: 1 other name
Description: Clostridium sticklandii Lysine sequence
Rfam family: Lysine riboswitch aptamer
About the family: Riboswitches are metabolite binding domains within certain messenger RNAs that serve as precision sensors for their corresponding targets.
Source: RNAcentral